CCUACGGGUGGCAGCAGUGAGGAAUAUUGGUCAAUGGGCGCGAGCCUGAACCAGCCAAGUCGCGUGAGGGAGGACGGCCCUACGGGUUGUAAACCUCUUUUGCCGGGGAGCAACGUGCGUCACGUGUGCCUCCACUGAGAGUACCCGGAGAAAAAGCUUCGGUUAAUCCCGUGCCAGCAGCCGCGGUAAUACGGAGGAUGCGAGCGUUAUCCGGUUUUAUUGGGUUAAAGGGGUGCGUAGGCGGAUCGUUAAGUCAGUGGUAAAAUUGAGGGGCUCAACCCCUUCCGGCCAUUGAACCUGGCGCUCUUGAGAGGAAGAGAAGUAUGCGGAAUGCGUGGUGUAGCGGUGAAAUGCAUAGAUAUCACGCAGAACCCCGAUUGCGAAGGCAGCAUGCCGGCUUCCGACUGACGCUGAAGCACGAAAGCGUGGGGAUCGAACAGGAUUAGAUACCCUUGUAGUC
This 460-nucleotide ribosomal RNA is filed under the name uncultured bacterium. RNAcentral's name for it is "partial 16S ribosomal RNA". It matches the Rfam family "Bacterial small subunit ribosomal RNA", at positions 338 to 795 of the family's 1533-position model. The record is from RNAcentral.